GUGUUCAAUUCUGUUUGAUCCUGGCAGAUGCUACUGCUAUUGGGAUUCGAUUAAGCCAUGCAAGUCGAAAGAAUUUAGAUUCUUGGCGUACGGCUCAGUAACACGUGGAUAACCUACCCUUAGGACUGGGAUAACCUUGGGAAACUGAGGAUAAUACUG
Molecule: ribosomal RNA, 159 nt
Filed under: Methanobrevibacter millerae
Lineage: Archaea; Methanobacteriati; Methanobacteriota; Methanobacteria; Methanobacteriales; Methanobacteriaceae
Description: partial 16S ribosomal RNA
Rfam family: Archaeal small subunit ribosomal RNA
Source: RNAcentral